GUAAAGACUGAGUCAACUCUAUAAUAAAGAAUGCUGUGUUUAUUUCCUGAAGUGUUGAUUUAGUUAGGCAAAAUAGUGAAAUUUCACUGUUGGCAAUAAUUAUCAUUGUGUUAUUAAAUGUAUUCUUGCUUUUUUGCUUCAGUAUUUUAAGAAGUCUUUUCUUACAGUUUAAUUUUUGAUAUGACAUAAUAUAUUUCAUAAAACAGUUGAUACUUGUAUAAGAUUCUGCACGGAAACAAAUCAUAACAAUAGAAUUAGAAAUUUACCUCAUUGGGCAAAUUUGUGUUUGCCUUAGUACUUAAUAUUGAUUACGUCAGUUAAGAAUAUUCAUGGUUCUUUAGUGAAAAAAAAUUCAUUUUAAUUUCUUCUCUACCUAGGCAGUUACUUCCUCAUUCAGUUGUAUCACCAGGACAGCCACUGGGCCUCUGUGUUACAUUUCAUGAUGCCAAUAUCUAUUUCUUGUUUUGGAUUAUGAGUUUCUUGAGGACAAGAACUAUGCUUUAUUUGCCUUCAUAUCCCGAGUAUCCCUUACAGGACCUUCACACAGACACUGGAGAUCUGAAACUCCGCCAACAAGGCAACUGGGGAAGAGAAGGGCUGAAUGAACACAAAAUUUCUGAUUGCUGCACAAAAUAGGAUCAAAGAAAAGAGAAGAAUAAUCAGAGGUAAUGAUGGUAAUUUGUUUUCUAGUUCAAAUAUAAUUGACCCACACUGAAGACAUAAUUAUGGUACAUUAAGGAGAUUAAAAGAGAGACAAAGGCAAAAGCAUGGAGCGAUGACAACAUGAUUCAAGAUCCUAUAAUUAUGACGUUUUAAAAAUCACAAUAUUUUGCUAUUAGCCUUUCAACCCACAACAUACAGGAAUAGUGGAAAACCAAGCAGAUUCCAUUUCAGUUGUCAGAUUCAUGUUUUCCUUUCUUUUUUAAUGCCUGUUUCUUUCUCUUUUAGUUUCUUCUAACAGCUGCUGGUACUUGAAUGUUAUCUACUAGUAAUAAGCAUGUGGGAAAAUGGAGUGAAACAAUGGUUUAUUUAGGAGGGAGUCUGUAAUGAUAAUUUCCCACUCUUUCCUUUUCAUCCAUCUUAAGCUUGCAUAUUUUGGACUGAGUCUGAAAUCCUAGAAGCCUGAGCUGAAACUGAUUUCAGUUAAGUAUUUCCCAAAGUGUGACUUAUAAGGCACGUAAGAUGCUUUAAGGUUGUAUGUGGACAAGUUUUUAAUUGUGUCAGUUAUGGAUAUAUUUUAAUGAGCAUUGAAAAUGUUAUUCAUCCUUUAAAUCUAUGCUGUUGUGGUUAUUAUCUGGUUAGGAUGAGACCAGGUAAAAACAGUGAGUCAAUUUAAGGGUUAACACUAUAUAAAUAAUUGUACCAAUGGUGCAUGACAUUGGUACAAAUCAUGAGAGUGGCCGGGGAAUUACUGGCAUUUCUGAAACGUUGUUUUGGCCGGGGAAUUACUGGCAUUUCUGAAACGUUGUUUUAGUCUCCCUUUUCCCUCAUCCCAUAGCACUGUCUGUUUGCUGUUCUAGGGUUAUAUAAUGAAACAGAGGUGGGGUGGCAGUUCUGAAACACCAGUUAUGAAAUCGUGGACAUUUUGGUGCUAACUAAUAACUACACUAGUAUUCCCAGCAAUCUCUAAUCUCCAGAGAUCUGGGCUUUGAAUUGUGUAACAAAUCAACUGCUGUCUGCCGGCAGGUCAGUGAUUCGUCGACAGAGUAUUCGAAGAGAAAGCCAUAGAUAUCACUGAGGUUGAAUAAUGAAGCAGGGAUGCGCAUGUUUUUCUAACUCAGCGUGUGUGUGUGAGGAGUUGCAG
Long non-coding RNA from Macaca fascicularis (crab-eating macaque), 1804 nucleotides. NCBI's taxonomy places the organism in Eukaryota, Metazoa, Chordata, Mammalia, Primates, Cercopithecidae. The record is from Ensembl.